Molecule: ribosomal RNA, 433 nt
Filed under: uncultured bacterium
Lineage: Bacteria
Description: partial 16S ribosomal RNA
Rfam family: Bacterial small subunit ribosomal RNA
Source: RNAcentral
AACGAACGCUGGCGGCAUGCCUAGCACAUGCAAGUCGAACGAGACCUUCGGGUCUAGUGGCGCACGGGUGCGUAACGCGUGGGAACCUGCCCUUAGGUUCGGAAUAACUCCCCGAAAGGGGUGCUAAUACCGGAUAAUGUCUUCGGACCAAAGAUUUAUCGCCUUUGGAUGGGCCCGCGUUGGAUUAGCUAGUUGGUAGGGUAAAAGCCUACCAAGGCGACGAUCCAUAGCUGGUCUGAGAGGAUGAUCAGCCACACUGGGACUGAGACACGGCCCAGACUCCUACGGGAGGCAGCAGUGGGGAAUAUUGGAAAAUGGGCGAAAGCCUGAUCCAGCAAUGCCGCGUGAGUGAUGAAGGCCUUAGGGUUGUAAAGCUCUUUUACCCGGGAUGAUAAUGACAGUACCGGGAGAAUAAGCUCCGGCUAACUCCGUG